GUGGGGAAUCUUGCGCAAUGGGCGAAAGCCUGACGCAGCCAUGCCGCGUGAAUGAUGAAGGUCUUAGGAUUGUAAAAUUCUUUCACCGGGGACGAUAAUGACGAUACCCGGAGAAGAAGCUCCGGCUAACUUCGUGCCAGCAGCCGCGGUAAUACGAAGGGGGCUAGCGUUGCUCGGAAUUACUGGGCGUAAAGGGCGCGUAGGCGGACAGCUUAGUCAGAGGUGAAAGCCCAGGGCUCAACCUUGGAAUUGCCUUUGAUACUGGCUGUCUUGAGUUUGGGAGAGGUGGGUGGAACUCCGAGUGUAGAGGUGAAAUUCGUAGAUAUUCGGAAGAACACCAGUGGCGAAGGCGACUCACUGGCCCAAUACUGACGCUGAGGCGCGAAAGCGUGGGGAGCAAACAGGAUUAGAUACCCCAGUAGUCC
RNAcentral lists this ribosomal RNA (425 nucleotides) under uncultured bacterium. Its description in RNAcentral is "partial 16S ribosomal RNA". It matches the Rfam family "Bacterial small subunit ribosomal RNA", at positions 354 to 796 of the family's 1533-position model. The record is from RNAcentral.